This 247-nucleotide ribosomal RNA is filed under the name uncultured bacterium. RNAcentral's name for it is "partial 16S ribosomal RNA". It matches the Rfam family "Bacterial small subunit ribosomal RNA", at positions 57 to 305 of the family's 1533-position model. The record is from RNAcentral.
GCAAGUCGAACGGUAGAGAUCCUUCGGGAUCUUGAGAGUGGCGAACGGGUGAGUAACGCGUAUGCAACCUACCUUUUACCGGGGGAUAGCCCGGGGAAACCCGGAUUAAUACCCCAUAGUAUCAGUUGACGGCAUCGUUUACUGAUUAAAGAUUCAUCGGUAAAAGAUGGGCAUGCGUAGGAUUAGCUAGUUGGCGGGGUAACGGCCCACCAAGGCGACGAUCCUUAGGGGUUCUGAGAGGAAGGUC